Small nuclear RNA from Sorex araneus (European shrew), 106 nucleotides. The record is from Ensembl. Lineage: Eukaryota; Metazoa; Chordata; Mammalia; Eulipotyphla; Soricidae.
GGGAUCACAUUUGGCAGCACAUAUACUAAAAUUGGAACGAUACAGAGAAGAUUAGCAUGGCCCCUGCAGUUUUAAAUUUUUGAAAUUUGAAUAUACUCUCACAUUU